Molecule: ribosomal RNA, 542 nt
Filed under: Aspergillus sp.
Lineage: Eukaryota; Fungi; Ascomycota; Eurotiomycetes; Eurotiales; Aspergillaceae
Description: eukaryotic LSU rRNA
Rfam family: 5.8S ribosomal RNA (bases 159-312)
Source: RNAcentral
CAUCAGUGGUAUAUUCGUACCCUGUCGGAACCGCGGGGCCACCGCUUGAAGGCCGCCGGGGGGGCGCCUCUGAACCCCGGGCCCGUGCCCGCCGGAGACCCCAACACGAACACUGUCUGAAAGCGUGCAGUCUGAGUUGAUUGAAUGCAAUCAGUUAAAACUUUCAACAAUGGAUCUCUUGGUUCCGGCAUCGAUGAAGAACGCAGCGAAAUGCGAUAACUAAUGUGAAUUGCAGAAUUCAGUGAAUCAUCGAGUCUUUGAACGCACAUUGCGCCCCCUGGUAUUCCGGGGGGCAUGCCUGUCCGAGCGUCAUUGCUGCCCUCAAGCCCGGCUUGUGUGUUGGGUCGCCGUCCCCCUCUCCGGGGGGACGGGCCCGAAAGGCAGCGGCGGCACCGCGUCCGAUCCUCGAGCGUAUGGGGCUUUGUCACAUGCUCUGUAGGAUUGGCCGGCGCCUGCCGACGUUUUCCAACCAUUCUUUCCAGGUUGACCUCGGAUCAGGUAGGGAUACCCGCUGAACUUAAGCAUAUCAAUAAGCGGAGGAA